CCUACGGGCGGCAGCAGUGGGGAAUAUUGCACAAUGGGCGCAAGCCUGAUGCAGCCAUGCCGCGUGUGUGAAGAAGGCCUUCGGGUUGUAAAGCACUCUCAGCGGGGAGGAAGGCGGUGAGGUUAAUAACCUCAUCGAUUGACGUUACCCGCAGAAGAAGCACCGGCUAACUCCGUGCCAGCAGCCGCGGUAAUCCGGAGGGUGCAAGCGUUAAUCGGAAUUACUGGGCGUAAAGCGCACGCAGGCGGUCUGUCAAGUCGGAUGUGAAAUCCCCGGGCUCAACCUGGGAACUGCAUUCGAAACUGGCAGGCUAGAGUCUUGUAGAGGGGGGUAGAAUUCCAGGUGUAGCGGUGAAAUGCGUAGAGAUCUGGAGGAAUACCGGUGGCGAAGGCGGCCCCCUGGACAAAGACUGACGCUCAGGUGCGAAAGCGUGGGGAGCAAACAGGAUUAGAUACCCGUGUAGUC
Molecule: ribosomal RNA, 465 nt
Filed under: uncultured Klebsiella sp.
Lineage: Bacteria; Pseudomonadati; Pseudomonadota; Gammaproteobacteria; Enterobacterales; Enterobacteriaceae
Description: bacterial SSU rRNA
Rfam family: Bacterial small subunit ribosomal RNA
Source: RNAcentral